Molecule: ribosomal RNA, 400 nt
Filed under: uncultured bacterium
Lineage: Bacteria
Description: bacterial SSU rRNA
Rfam family: Bacterial small subunit ribosomal RNA
Source: RNAcentral
UUGGGAAUAUUGGACAAUGGGCGAAAGCCUGAUCCAGCCACGCCGCGUGAGUGAUGAAGGCCUUCGGGUCGUAAAGCUCUUUUAGUGGGGACGAAGGGCAACUUGACGGUACCCACAGAAAAAGCACCGGCUAACUCCGUGCCAGCAGCCGCGGUAAUACGGAGGGUGCAAGCGUUGCUCGGAAUCAUUGGGCGUAAAGCGCGUGUAGGCUGCUUCCUAAGUCUGGUGUGAAAUCCCGGGGCUUAACCCCGGAACUGCACUGGAUACUGGGAAGCUAGAGGGCAGAAGAGGAUGGUGGAAUUCCUGGUGUAGGGGUGAAAUCCGUAGAUAUCAGGAGGAACAUCGGUGGCGAAGGCGGCCAUCUGGUCUGUGCCUGACGCUGAGACGCGAAAGCGUGGGU